This 783-nucleotide ribosomal RNA is filed under the name uncultured bacterium. RNAcentral describes it as "bacterial SSU rRNA". It matches the Rfam family "Bacterial small subunit ribosomal RNA", at positions 14 to 776 of the family's 1533-position model. The record is from RNAcentral.
UGAUACUGGCUCAGGACGAACGCUGGCGGCGUGCCUAACACAUGCAAGUCGAACGGGGCGAAGUGAUAGCUUGCUAUUAUGGAGCCUAGUGGCAAACGGGUGAGUAACGCGUAGGCAACCUGCCCUUCAGAUGGGGACAACACCUCGAAAGGGGUGCUAAUACCGAAUGACGUUUCCCGGUCGCAUAACCUGGAAACCAAAGGCCGGGCAACCGGUCACUGAAGGAUGGGCCUGCGUCUGAUUAGCUAGUUGGUGGGGUAACGGCCCACCAAGGCGACGAUCAGUAGCCGGUCUGAGAGGAUGAACGGCCACAUUGGGACUGAGACACGGCCCAAACUCCUACGGGAGGCAGCAGUGGGGAAUCUUCCGCAAUGGGCGCAAGCCUGACGGAGCAACGCCGCGUGAGUGAAGAAGGUUUUCGGAUCGUAAAGCUCUGUUGAGAGGGACGAGAGAUAUAAUCAGGAAAUGGGUUAUAGAGGACGGUACCUUUCGAGGAAGCCACGGCUAACUACGUGCCAGCAGCCGCGGUAAUACGUAGGUGGCGAGCGUUGUCCGGAAUUAUUGGGCGUAAAGGGAGCGCAGGUGGGAAAGUAAGUCAGUCUUAAAAGUUCGGGGCUCAACCCCGUGAUGGGAUUGAAACUACUUUUCUUGAGUGCAGGAGAGGAAAGCGGAAUUCCUAGUGUAGCGGUGAAAUGCGUAGAUAUUAGGAGGAACACCAGUGGCGAAGGCGGCUUUCUGGACUGUAACUGACACUGAGGCUCGAAAGCGUGGGGAGCGAACAGG